Molecule: long non-coding RNA, 449 nt
Filed under: Daucus carota (carrot)
Lineage: Eukaryota; Viridiplantae; Streptophyta; Magnoliopsida; Apiales; Apiaceae
Description: long non-coding RNA (DCAR_LNC001818)
Source: RNAcentral
AGGCAUCAGCUUCUUGUUUUGUUCAAGUAUUUUCCCCACUGGUUAUCUAUCUGCAGCUUUUCUAAGCUACCUUCUAAAAUGUCAAGAAAUACGUGGGAAACCAUGGAGAUAUAACCAGCUACUGGAAAGUAAGGAGGUUGAAGAAAGGGUUGCAUUUAAAUUAGGCCAGAUUUACAAGGUUCACUACUACCCAGGAUAUACAAGGUGGCACACACAUAGUGACACCUUAACCUUAUGAACCAGCUACUGGAAAGUAAGGAGGUUGAAGAAAGGAGUGCAUUUAAAUUAGGCCAGAUUUACAAGGUUCACUACUACCCAGGAUAUACAAGGUGGCACACACAUAGUGACACCUAAACCUUAUGAAGGUAUAAUCAUUUACAAGAGCCUGCGACAUUUCCCAGGUCUCUAGCAAGAGCCACAAACUGAAGACUUAAAACUAAUACCAAAAC